This 1732-nucleotide long non-coding RNA is filed under the name Fukomys damarensis (Damara mole-rat). Its description in RNAcentral is "lncRNA (ENSFDAG00000027492.1)". Lineage: Eukaryota; Metazoa; Chordata; Mammalia; Rodentia; Bathyergidae. The record is from RNAcentral.
UGGUGCACUACAGGCGGUGUGGUCUGGAGCCAAGGGGGCCUGCUCCUGCCAGCUGCCUGCUCCACUCCCUCCAUGGCCCCAAGGCUGGCAACCCCCGGCCAGGCCCAGGAGCAGCGUCUCACCCUGGCCACGGACCCAUUGGGGGCCAGGACCCUGAUUUCGCACCGCUGUCUGGGCCUCAGCCACAGCACUCCCGAAACCCACUGCGUCCCUUCCGGCCGGGUCCCCACUCCCUACCUCCACAGACUGCCGGGUUUCUACCCCAGGGUAGCGGAAGAUCUUGGUCUGGCUGAGCUCGCAGGCGCCCCAUCCCAUUUUUGGUUUUUGCAGGCCAAGAGGUUUCGAAAGGGGGCAUUUUCAGCUUCCAGUCUGCGUGUUCGGGCUGAUUCGAGUGUACGACUCUGUCUCGUUCUAGCGAGGGGAGGCCAGGCCUGGAGGGACACAAUGGAGGUCGUCAGUAACUGUCCAGGAGGGCUGCCAUCACUGGGCUUCAGACAGAGUCCCCCACGAUUCCCCCUCCUUCGGUGCACAGGGCUUUUACGACUCCGACCCCCGGGAUCACGACGCGGUGGCUUUUCUCCUCUCGCUCCUCUCCCCAGGCUCACAUGAAACAAACAAUCACUCUUCGGCCUUCCUCUGGACUCUGAGCAAAUCAGGUCAGGUCCUGUUUGGAUGCCAGGCACAGCCCUGUGGCUCUCUGCUCAGAACCGCGCGGUCUUCUCAGCUGUGUGUCUCAGCACUCUGCCUGCUGCGGCCCGGACUGCGGACCCAGUCUCCUUGCUGGUGUGAGUUGUGGACUCUGUGAUCGCGCCCCUUGGUGUUGCUGACCCAGUGCUCAGGCAAAAACCUCCUUUUUUUCUGGAAGAAUUCUUGAGAUUUCCACAGCCUCCUUCCUAUUGUCACUAGGAGCAUUGUCCCAAAUGGAUGACUUGUUUUUUUUUUUUUUCCCUUCGAGACAGGGUCCUGUUGUGUAUCUCAGGCUGGCCUCCAACUCACUGUGUGGCCCAGGUUGGCCUCAAACUUGUGGCAACCCUCCUGCCUCAGCCUCCCAAGUUUUGGGAUUGCAAGUGUGCUGCUGUGCCCAGGUGAUUUACUUUUUUAAGUACUAGAUUCACCCAAACCCAUGCAUGUUGCUUCACUUAAUCCUAACAACGAUCCUAUUAUUUUCAUACCCAUUUGACAAAGAAGGCGGAGGCACCUGAAGUCAAUUGUCCACAAUCAUGUAUCAAGGAGUGGAUGGUGGUACGUUUGGCAAUUUCUCAAUUUAUCAUAUUGCAAUAUCUCUCUUUGAUAAUUCACAUUUGCAUCUCAAAGACAGCCCCCCCCCCUUAUCUGAGAAAUCCUGUCUUCUUUCAAAUUCAGGAUACUCUUUGGGUUUUUGUUUUCUUUUCACCUCCCUAGUGAUAAAAGAUGUAUUUAUUAUGGAAUUCUCUGACCUUCAAAAACACCUGGUGAGAGGGUACAAGAUCCCAAUGAUGAAUGUAACUGUACUAUAUACUUAAAACGUACCAAUAAACUCAAUGAGAUUAAAAAACACACACAACACUUGGUGAGUACACAGGGGCAGGGUGCUGGGGAUUGAACUGGUACACUCUAUGCUGAGCUCCACCCCCUGCCUUUUUAGUUUUUAUUGUGUGACAGGGUCUCGCUAAAUUGCCCAGGCUGAACUUGAAUUUACAGUCCUCCUGCCUCAGCCUCCCUGCUAGCUGGGAUUACAGGUGUGUACCACUAU